Nothobranchius furzeri (turquoise killifish) is the source of this 2136-nucleotide long non-coding RNA. RefSeq lists it as uncharacterized. Lineage: Eukaryota; Metazoa; Chordata; Actinopteri; Cyprinodontiformes; Nothobranchiidae. The record is from RefSeq and is a predicted model, not a curated record.
AGGAUUAGGAGGGCGUGCACGCCAACCACACAUUUAAAAAGCCCCACCGGAGUCUCCGUAGAGCCGUUCUCACCCGCCAAUCACGAGGCGCGUUUUCUUUAGCCAGCGUCCUAAAUCUGACCAAUGACGAGCCUGAGGGGCGGGGCGAUCCUUGACGCAUGGAGGCUCGUGAUUGACGCAAGCCGUGUUGCUAAUUUUAGCCGCAGCCUGGCCGAAGGAGGCUGAGCGAGAUGCAAAGAGCUCAUUCAUUGAGCCGGGGCGGGCCCGACUCUUCCAGCGCUCCGGUUGCGAUCCGGCCAAGCCAAAUAUAGUCGUAGACAGGUAUUUUUAGCCCCGCAGCGUGGCCCGGUUUCAUUUGGCUAGGUGAUCCCCCCAGAAACGAGCCACGGGGCUAGCGAAGCGUCAGGCUAGUUUUACAGAGAGGAGAGGGAGCUGCCAGGAGGCAGAGUCCGGGGAAAGCCCGUAGGUCCGACGUCCAAAACCCGCCAGGUCUUCCAACCAGCGCUCUGAGCAGAUGGAGGCAUGUUGGAGGCAGGGCAAGGGAGAGCCGUCUUUACCGACUGUACACUCCACCUCCCUCUACUCCCCCAGCUUCUACUAGUUUCCUGGACGCUAAACCAACAACAGCCUUCCCCGCCGUGAGUCCAGAUGGAAGCUACUGCAGGAGAUAGGUGUAGGAGACUAUCUUCAUGUUCAGCCUGCAUGAAACACUCAGGGUGACCCGUUUGUCACGAGCGUGCCUGGCGAGUGGAGCGGAGGUAGGAUCCAAUCGCGGGGAGGAAGAAGGCGAACAGGUAGGUCCGUUUGACAUCUGUUUAUUAAGACACACGCUGGAACACUGAACAGAAGGGGUUUAAAUACACGAGGAGCGGGAGCUAUGGUGAUUGGGAAACAAGAGGCAGGUAGGAGCAAUUAACGGAGACACAGACUAAAACCUAAGAGAAGACAGGACAGGGUGUGACACCGUUAGAAUCAGAGAUUAUCAUUAAACACCGUGACAGGUUUCUCAGUGUUUUUAUUUUGCAUUUUAGUAAAAAAAUGCUAAUUGUUUUAAUCUAACCUUCCACAGUCUCUUAAACCUUCUUAAACUUAAAAACACAUCUUUACAAGCUUUAGCAGCUCCGCUCACACAGUGCAGUUGCACAUUUUUACAGGUUUUUUUUUUCCCUUGGCAAAACCUCGAUCCAAUGCAGCUGGUGCUUUUCUCUGUGGUCAUUUUAGUGAAUCUGUGGGAGUCGGGUGGGAGUGCAACUCCUCAAAUCAUGAAGAAACAAGUCUGUUUUUAAAUAUGUUGUACCGUCAAGGCACUUGGACUAAAAUCUGACUUCCAGCCCUGCGUAAAAAUAAGACAUGACGCUGUAACACCCUGUGAAUAUCUUACAUCAGCGCCGGGUUGUGUGUCAACACUGCAUUCCCACACUCCAAGUCAGCAAUUCCAAUCACAGGGAGCCGCGUGCGUAAAUACUUGCUUCUCAGCUAUGCACCCGAGCCAACGUCACGAGGGAUGUCCGGAUCUUCCUCUUUCACUGGAGGAAACCUUUCAUAUGAAAAGUACUGGGAGUGUCUUUCUCUGCGCACAGAUGGCAUCUGAGGCGAUAACAAAGGAUAAAAUGGGAAUUUCUUUUUUAGUCGUGCGCCCACGCAGCGAUUGCAAUAAACCAUGAUGCACAGAUUCACGCACCCAGGUUACAGUAACAAUGCAGGUGUCAGUUAUGAGGAAAAGAAAUAAGGAUGUCAGAGUUUAGAGGCAGUAAAUGAUAAAAGGUGGCGGCCGUCGUGCUGCUGCUCCACCAGACGGGCAACGGGAAAUAAAACAGCCAAAGCUUUCAGCUGGUCAGAGCUAACAAACUCACUUCUGCGUUUUCCCAUUUUUACUCCUAUAUAGGAUUAGAGGAUCGUUAAUAAUCUUAUAUAGGAUUAGAGGAUCGUUAAUAAUCUUAUAUAGGAUUAGAGGAUCGUUAAUAAUCUUCUAUAGGAUUAGAGGAUCGUUAAUAAUCUUCUAUAGGAUUAGAGGAUCGUUAAUAAUCUUCUAUAGGAUUAGAGGAUCGUUAAUAAUCUUCUAUAGGAUUAGAGGAUCGUUAAUAAUCUUCUAUAGGAUUAGAGGAUUGUUAAUAAUCUUCUAUAGGAUUAGAGGAU